Molecule: long non-coding RNA, 2686 nt
Filed under: Nicotiana tabacum (common tobacco)
Lineage: Eukaryota; Viridiplantae; Streptophyta; Magnoliopsida; Solanales; Solanaceae
Description: long non-coding RNA (NTAB_LNC015976)
Source: RNAcentral
GAGAAUAAAAUUUAUAUAAUUCGAACAUAGCCCCUAAGUGCAAUGAUAAAUCACAUUUAGCUAUCCAUUAAUAAUUGAUUUCAAGAUAAAUUAAUUUUAUCUUCAUAAGUUUUAGCUCUUCUUAAGAGAUUAUUUAGUUUUUCCCUCUCACCCUUAUCCCUUAUCCAACUUCCCCACUCAAAUCUCUUCUCCCCACACCUGAUUCAGCCCUUUUUCCCACUUUAGGGUCAUUUUUCUCAUUAGAUCUAUUCACCCCAAAUACGAAUCUGCAAAACAAAUUCUCUGCGACUAGGUGAUCGGCGUUGGGAGACCUUCUGGGUGGACUUUGUAAGUGCAUUUGUCUUUUGUCUUUCAAAACAAAACACAACAUCUGUUAUUAGUUGUUUUACUUUAAGUUUAUUUUAGUUGAACAAAAAUUGCCUUUCUACUGCUAUCUUUGCUGAUUGCAUAAAGUCAUGGGCGGAUCCACAUAGAGAAUUGUGCGUGUUCAAGCACCCAUUGUCCAUGCUUGGUAUCGAACAUAUAAUGUUAUAAACAAUUUCGCAUGAAAUAAUGGAUAUAUAUUAGGGUGAGCAACCAUUACUCAAACAGUGGGUGCUAAUGAUUAAUGAAAUCUAAAUAUACGCUUUGUGUGAUCCGGAGUUCGAUUCUUACGUAAUGCACUUUUUGACUUUCUUUUUCGUCUCCCUUUAACAUGACUUUUCCUUUUGUUCUUAACUUUGCCGUUCUUUUUCAACUCAUUUAGUUCAUCGUGGCACAAAAAGAAAAUAUAUUCAAUUUACCAUCACCAAAUUUGACAGCUUAUAUUGUGGUUUGGGAUCCUCACAAUAAUGAUAAUAUUUAAGAAAAUAUGGAUAUUUAUAUUUUUCGUCACUCACCAUAUCGGGGUGGAAUGGAUGAAAUGGAGGUUAGUGUCUGGAGUCAUGUGUGACAAGAAGGCGCCACUGAAACUUAAAGGUAAGUUCUAUAGAGCGAUAAUUAGACCGGCCAUGCUAUAUGGGGCUGAGUGUUGGCCAGUCAAAAAUUCUCAUAUCCAGAAGAUGAAAGUAGCCGAAUUGAGAUAGAUGUGUGGGCACACUAGGCUGGAUAAGAUUAGGAAUGAAGAUAUUUAGGAGAAGGUGGGCGUGGCUCCCAUGGGCAACAAGAUGCGGGAAACGAGGCUUAGAUGGUUCGGGCAUGUGCAGAGGAGGAGCCUAGAUGCCCCGGUUAGGAGGUGUGAACGGUUGUCUUUGACAGAUACAAGGAGAGGUAGAGGGCGGCCUAAGAAAUAUUGGGGCGAGGUGAUAAGGCAAGACAUGGCGCAACUUCAGAUUUUCGAGGACAUGACCCUCGAUAGGGAGGCGUGGAGGUCGAGCAUUAGGGUUGUAGGUUAGAGUUUAGUUAAGCUUUUUUCUUCGUUGUUCUGGCUAGUCUAAUAGUGUUUUAUAUAAGACUGCUAGCGGUUAUUGUUCCAUCACACUUUCUAUUUUUUGUUUAUUAUUUUUUUACUUUUAUAUUAUAUUUUAUUUUUAAUUUUUAUUAUUGCCAUAAUUAUUGUCCUUCCACUUAUUUGUUGUCACUUGGUGUUGAUCUUAUUUGUAUGUUUUCUGUUGUUGUUACAGAUUUUUUAUUUUUAAGCCAAGGGUCUCCCAGAAAUAGUCUCUCUACCUUCAUGGAUAGGGGUAAGGUCUGCAUACAGUCUACCCUCUCUAGACCUCACUAGUGGAAUUAUUACUUGGUUGUUGUUGUUGUAUUUUUUUGUCACUCAAUUUCUGUUUUAUCCGUAUUAAAUAUAAGUGGUUCGGAAAUUUUAUCUGUGUUGUUUAAAACGUAUUUAAUCCAUUCAUAUUGUUAACCCUCAAAAACAUAUAACAAUUGAAUUUAUAUGUGAUUUUAAGGAUACACGGAUUAAUUCAAUACAAAUGAUAAACAAUGUUAGAUUAAACAGAGAAAGUGUCAUGACCUAAAUCGAUGGGCCACGACGGGUGCCUGAGUCUUACCUGUCAAACAUCCCUAAGCAUGCGUCUAGGAUAUGAACCUGUAUAACAUCUGUUGAAUUACGAAGAUAACAUACAUGAAAUAAACAUGCCAACAAGGAAUAUGUACGUAUACAUGCAAAAUACAGCGGGCGAGCCAGCAAGACUGCUAUAGCCAACUACACAUCCAAUAACUGAAAGCCGACAAUGCCACUUACAACCCAACUAGACAUACUAUCUACAUACCUCUAAUAAAAACAUAACUGUACAAAGACGGGACUGAGCCACAUCAUACCUAUAUACAUACAUAUAUAUAUAUAUAUACAAACGUAUCAUAUCAAAAUCAAAGCAGCUCCAGAUCAAGUGGAGCACGCCAACUCUCGCUGAUCAGGGAUCCUAAGAAAGAGGACCAUCAGCUUUCCUACCUGCACAUAGGGGCGUGGAACGCAGGCCCCGUGAAAUAGGGCGUCAGUACAAAAAAUGUACUGAGUAUGUAAGGCAUGAAUAUUAGUACGUAAAAGACAUAGAUGAAACAUGGAAUAAGGAAACACAUCUUUAAAUCUGAAUAACUUUGUAAAUUUGAAACGUUUAUAAUGUCAUGCACGUGCGUAUAAAUGUCGUGCCAUGCAUAGGUGUGGGUGUACAUAAUAUCAUCAAGCCACUGAGGGCAUCCCAUCGUAUCGUCUCGGCCACUGUAGGCAACAUCAUCAACAUAUACCAGCUGAUCAGGU